GCAAGCUUAACACAUGCAAGUCGAACGGAUUAUCUUUUAUAGCUUGCUAUGGAGGAUAAUUAGUGGCAGACGGGUGAGUAAUGCAUAGGAAUCUACCUAGUAGUAUGGGAUAGCCACUAGAAAUGGUGGGUAAUACUGUAUAAUCCCUGCGGGGGAAAGAUUUAUCGCUAUUAGAUGAGCCUAUGAUAGAUUAGCUAGUUGGUAGGGUAAAGGCCUACCAAGGCGAUGAUCUAUAGCUGGUCUGAGAGGAUGAUCAGCCACACUGGAACUGAGAUACGGUCCAGACUCCUACGGGAGGCAGCAGUGGGGAAUAUUGGACAAUGGGCGCAAGCCUGAUCCAGCUAUGCCGCGUGAGUGAGGAAGGCCUUAGGGUUGUAAAACUCUUUCAGUAGGGAAGAUAAUGACGGUACCUACAGAAGAAGUCCCGGCAAACUCCGUGCCAGCAGCCGCGGUGAUACGGAGGGGGCAAGCGUUGUUCGGAAUUAUUGGGCGUAAAGGGCAUGUCGGCGGUUCGGUAAGUUAAAGGUGAAAUGCCAGGGCUUAAC
This 545-nucleotide ribosomal RNA is filed under the name Anaplasma phagocytophilum. Its description in RNAcentral is "bacterial SSU rRNA". It matches the Rfam family "Bacterial small subunit ribosomal RNA", at positions 42 to 613 of the family's 1533-position model. The record is from RNAcentral. Lineage: Bacteria; Pseudomonadati; Pseudomonadota; Alphaproteobacteria; Rickettsiales; Anaplasmataceae.